This is a long non-coding RNA of Salvia miltiorrhiza (redroot sage), 836 nucleotides long. RefSeq lists it as uncharacterized. The record is from RefSeq and is a predicted model, not a curated record. NCBI's taxonomy places the organism in Eukaryota, Viridiplantae, Streptophyta, Magnoliopsida, Lamiales, Lamiaceae. The transcript is spliced from 2 exons.
AAAUAGCAUAAAAUAUUUCUAGGCAUAGUAAAUCAAAGCAAUCGAAGCUCAAAAUGUACAAUCAUUUACCAUGUAAGACAAGAUGGACACAUAAUUACAAGGCAAAGAUUCAAAGUGAAACCUAAUGCUUCAGAUUCGAACAAUGAUUUGUUUGUGUAAAAAGGUGAUUACACGCAAUAUUGCGCUGUCUUAAAUUCUUUAUUAGAUACACCUCUCUGUUUCUAACACAUGAUACUGUACUCUAUACAGGCUUUGGAUUUGACAACAUUCUCUCUUACAUCGAACUGAGGUAUCUAGGAGAGGUAUGCUGGCAGAAUCUAACUACCAGAACCAAGAGAGGUUUCUCCUAUUGAUUUAUAAAGGGAGUUAGAAAUUUGCUUACAAGAUUUCUUGCUUAGGAAGAGCUCAACUAGAGAAGGUUAAAAACAAACUCCUAUUUCGUUUUUCAAUGCAGAAAGGCUUGCAUGUUGCUCAAGGACUGCUGAACAUUCAUACGUCAAGCAAUCUCACAUUUCAACUCUAGCGAAAUCUUACAUUGGUUUAACCAUAUAACUCUUCAUAUGGUGGAUAUUGGUAAGCAAGACAUUUUCAAUUACUAGAUUUUAAGAAUACUCAAAACAGCACUUUAGUUGCACUAAAUAGGACUCGUAGUUUGCAAGUUGUUUCAACUAACUAAGCCGAUCAUAUUCCUUCAAUCCCUUAAGAGUGUGCAUCACUUUUAGUAGCACAAGUUUUAAUAAAUGUUAUAGAUAAGUUUGUUAUGAGUAGAGAAAUGGAGUCUACUUUUAUUGUAGUAUUAUGAUAGUGGAAAUAAAAAUAAGGGAUUUGUGGUGGGC